Molecule: ribosomal RNA, 301 nt
Filed under: uncultured bacterium
Lineage: Bacteria
Description: partial 16S ribosomal RNA
Rfam family: Bacterial small subunit ribosomal RNA
Source: RNAcentral
CAGCAGCCGCGGGAAUACGGAGGGUGCAAGCGUUAAUCGGAAUUACUGGGCGUAAAGCGCACGCAGGCGGUUUGUUAAGUCAGAUGUGAAAUCCCCGAGCUUAACUUGGGAACUGCAUUUGAAACUGGCAAGCUAGAGUCUUGUAGAGGGGGGUAGAAUUCCAGGUGUAGCGGUGAAAUGCGUAGAGAUCUGGAGGAAUACCGGUGGCGAAGGCGGCCCCCUGGACAAAGACUGACGCUCAGGUGCGAAAGCGUGGGGAGCAAACAGGAUUAGAUACCCCUGUAGUCCCUGUCUCUUAUAC